RNAcentral lists this transfer RNA (89 nucleotides) under Streptomyces nitrosporeus. Its description in RNAcentral is "tRNA-Arg". The record is from RNAcentral. Lineage: Bacteria; Bacillati; Actinomycetota; Actinomycetes; Kitasatosporales; Streptomycetaceae.
GGAGCGGUGCGCGGGAGCCCCGGAGGGCGGACCCCGGGUCCGCCGCGAGGGCUCGUCGCGAGGGCCCGGGUCCGUGCCCGGCCGGUCCG